RNAcentral lists this ribosomal RNA (1179 nucleotides) under uncultured organism. RNAcentral's name for it is "bacterial SSU rRNA". It matches the Rfam family "Bacterial small subunit ribosomal RNA", at positions 205 to 1413 of the family's 1533-position model. The record is from RNAcentral.
AGAUUUAUCGCUUUGAGAGGGGGGUGCUUCCUAUCAGGUAGUUGGUGGGGUAAUAGCCUACCAAGCCUAUGACGGGUAGCCGGUCUGAGAGGAUGUCCGGCCGCAAUGGGACUGAGACACGGCCCAUACUCCUACGGGAGGCAGCAGUGGGGAAUUUUGCGCAAUGGGCGAAAGCCUGACGCAGCAAUCUCGCGUGGAGGAUGACGCAUUACGGUGUGUAAACUCCUUUUCUGGUGGAAGACGACUGACGGUACACCAGGAAUAAGGGACGGCUAACUACGUGCCAGCAGCCGCGGUAAUACGUAGGUCCCAAGUGUUAUCCGGAAUUACUGGGCGUAAAGCGUCUGUAGCCUGACAUAUAAGUCUGUUUUCAAAUACUGUGGCUUAACCAUAGAAAGGGAAUAGAUACUGUGUGUCUGGAGAUUUCUAGGGGUUAGUAGAAUUUCCGGUGGAGCGGUGAAAUGCGUUGAUAUCGGAAGGAAUGACAAAAGCGAAAGCAGCUAACUAUAGAAAAUCUGACGGUCAGAGACGAAAGCUUGGGUAUCAAACGGGAUUAGAUACCCCGGUAGUCCAAGCUGUAAAUUAUGCAUGCUAGGUGUUUUGUUCCGAUUUUCGGGAUGGAGUGCUGUAAUCUAACGAGUUAAGCAUGCCGCCUGGGUAGUAUAUUCGCAAGAAUGAAACUCCAAGGGAUAGGCGGGGGAACACACAAGCAGUGGAUUGUCUCGAUUAAUUGGAUAAUAAGCCAAGAAUCUUACCUAAACUUGACAUGUACUGUGUCCCUAUAUGAAAGUAUAGUAAUUCUGCUUUGCAGAAAUACGGUAUACAGGUGGUGCAUGGUCGUCGUCAGCUCGUGCCGCAAGGUGUCCAAGUUAAGUUCUGGGAACGAGCGCAACCCUCAUCUUUAGUUAGAUGUCUAAAGAGACUGCCUGGGUAACCAGGAGGAAGGAGAGGAUGACGUCAGAUCAUCAUGCCCCUUACGUAGGGCUCAUACAUACAAUGGGUAGUACAACGAGAAGCAUACCGUGAGGUGGAGCAAAUCUUUAAAGCUAUCCUUAGUUCGGAUUGUAGUCUGGAAUUCGACUACAUGAAGUUGGAAUUGCUAGUAAUGGCGGGUCAGCUACACCGCCGUGAAUAUGUCCCUGUUCCUUGCACUCACCGCCCGUCAAACCAUGGGAGUUG